This 465-nucleotide ribosomal RNA is filed under the name Vreelandella stevensii. RNAcentral's name for it is "partial 16S ribosomal RNA". It matches the Rfam family "Bacterial small subunit ribosomal RNA", at positions 338 to 795 of the family's 1533-position model. Lineage: Bacteria; Pseudomonadati; Pseudomonadota; Gammaproteobacteria; Oceanospirillales; Halomonadaceae. The record is from RNAcentral.
CCUACGGGAGGCAGCAGUGGGGAAUAUUGGACAAUGGGCGAAAGCCUGAUCCAGCCAUGCCGCGUGUGUGAAGAAGGCCUUCGGGUUGUAAAGCACUUUCAGUGGGGAAGAAAGCCUUGGGGCUAAUACCCUCGAGGAAGGACAUCACCCACAGAAGAAGCACCGGCUAACUCCGUGCCAGCAGCCGCGGUAAUACGGAGGGUGCGAGCGUUAAUCGGAAUUACUGGGCGUAAAGCGCGCGUAGGCGGUCUGAUAAGCCGGUGUUGAAAGCCCCGGGCUCAACCUGGGAACGGCAUCCGGAACUGUCAGGCUAGAGUGCAGGAGAGGAAGGUAGAAUUCCCGGUGUAGCGGUGAAAUGCGUAGAGAUCGGGAGGAAUACCAGUGGCGAAGGCGGCCUUCUGGACUGACACUGACGCUGAGGUGCGAAAGCGUGGGUAGCAAACAGGAUUAGAUACCCCAGUAGUC